This 579-nucleotide ribosomal RNA is filed under the name uncultured bacterium. Its description in RNAcentral is "bacterial SSU rRNA". It matches the Rfam family "Bacterial small subunit ribosomal RNA", at positions 338 to 916 of the family's 1533-position model. The record is from RNAcentral.
CCUACGGGAGGCAGCAGUAAGGAAUAUCGGUCAAUGGGCGCAAGCCUGAACCAGCCAUGCCGCGUGCAGGAAGACGGCCCUAUGGGUUGUAAACUGCUUUUGUCAGGGAAUAAACCUAUCUACGUGUAGAUAGCUGAAGGUACCUGAAGAAUAAGCAUCGGCUAACUCCGUGCCAGCAGCCGCGGUAAUACGGAGGAUGCAAGCGUUAUCCGGAUUCAUUGGGUUUAAAGGGUGCGCAGGCGGAGUGUUAAGUCAGUGGUGAAAUCUCUCGGCUCAACCGAGAAACUGCCAUUGAUACUGACAUUCUUGAGUAUUGUUGAGGUAGGCGGAAUGUGUCAUGUAGCGGUGAAAUGCUUAGAUAUGACACAGAACACCGAUCGCGAAGGCAGCUUACCAAGCAAUAACUGACGCUCAUGCACGAAAGCGUGGGGAUCAAACAGGAUUAGAUACCCUGGUAGUCCACGCCGUAAACGAUGAUCACUCGAUGUUGGCGAUACACAGUCAGCGUCUGAGCGAAAGCAAUAAGUAAAUCCACCUGGGGAGUACGAUCGCAAGAUUGAAACUCAAAGGAAUUGACGG